RNAcentral lists this ribosomal RNA (423 nucleotides) under Verrucomicrobiota bacterium. RNAcentral describes it as "Verrucomicrobia bacterium partial 16S ribosomal RNA". It matches the Rfam family "Bacterial small subunit ribosomal RNA", at positions 355 to 776 of the family's 1533-position model. Lineage: Bacteria; Pseudomonadati; Verrucomicrobiota. The record is from RNAcentral.
UGAGGAAUAUUGGUCAAUGGGCGCGAGCCUGAACCAGCCAAGUCGCGUGAGGGACGACGGUCCUACGGAUUGUAAACCUCUUCAGGCGGGGAGUAAUGUGCUCUACGAGUAGAGUAGUGAGAGUACCCGCAGAAUAAGCAUCGGCUAACUCCGUGCCAGCAGCCGCGGUAAUACGGAGGAUGCGAGCGUUAUCCGGAUUUAUUGGGUUUAAAGGGUGCGCAGGCUGUGCAUCAAGUCAGCGGUAAAAUCUCGGGGCUCAACCCCGUUUAGCCGUUGAAACUGGUGUGCUGGAGUGUGCGCGAGGAAGGCGGAAUGCGCGGUGUAGCGGUGAAAUGCAUAGAUAUUGCGCAGAACUCCGAUUGCGAAGGCAGCCUUCCAGUGCAUGACUGACGCUGAGGCACGAAAGCGUGGGUAUCGAACAGG